Molecule: ribosomal RNA, 297 nt
Filed under: Chlorobaculum sp. JAGS 114
Lineage: Bacteria; Pseudomonadati; Chlorobiota; Chlorobiia; Chlorobiales; Chlorobiaceae
Description: partial 16S ribosomal RNA
Rfam family: Bacterial small subunit ribosomal RNA
Source: RNAcentral
UGAUUUAUCGCCAAAGGAUGAGCCUAUGUGUAGUUGGUAGGGUAACGGCCUACCAAGCCAACGACGGAUAGCUGGUCUGAGAGGAUGAUCAGCCACAUUGGAACUGAAACACGGUCCAGACUCCUACGGGAGGCAGCAUUGAGGAAUAUUGCGCAAUGGGCGAAAGCCUGACGCAGCAACGCCGCGUGGAUGAUGAAGUUCUUCGGAAUGUAAAAUCCUUUUGCUGGAGACGAAUAGGUCGGCUUGCCGACUCUGACGGUACCCAGCGAAUAAGCCACGGCUAACUCUGUGCCAGCA